Molecule: small nuclear RNA, 140 nt
Organism: Euleptes europaea (tarantolino)
Lineage: Eukaryota; Metazoa; Chordata; Lepidosauria; Squamata; Sphaerodactylidae
Product: U11 spliceosomal RNA
Exons: 1
Source: RefSeq, a predicted model, not a curated record
AAAAAGGGCUUCUGCUGUGAGUGGCACAUAGAAGGGCGGCUGCGGCUUUGUCUCUUUCUGUGCGGAAUCGCUAUCAAGAGAUUUCGGAAGCAUAAUUUUUGCGCUUGGGGCAGCUGGUAAUCGCUUGUUCUGGCUCCCCG